UUUCCGUAGGUGAACCUGCGGAAGGAUCAUUAUCAUGUAAUUCAGUCCCCUUGGCUGUGUUAUAUAUAUACCCACUCUGUGUACCUUCUCCUGUUGCUUCCGCUGGAUGUGUAAUUCGCCCGGCGGAAGGGUAAAAAUAACCUCUGAGUAUUGAUGAAAUCUCUGUCUGAACCGAAUAGAAAGAAAAAUGUUAAAACUUUCAGCAACGGAUCUCUUGGUUCUC
This 223-nucleotide unclassified non-coding RNA is filed under the name plant metagenome. RNAcentral's name for it is "partial contains small subunit ribosomal RNA, internal transcribed spacer 1, and 5.8S ribosomal RNA". The record is from RNAcentral.